UACGAAGGGUGCUAGCGUUGUUCGGAAUCACUGGGCGUAAAGGGUGCGUAGGCGGCUUGACAAGCCAGAGGUGAAAGCCUGGAGCUUAACUCCAGAACUGCCUUUGGAACUGUCAGGCUAGAGUGUCGGAGGGGAUAGCGGAAUUUCUAAUGUAGCGGUGAAAUGCGUAGAUAUUAGAAGGAACACCGGUGGCGAAGGCGGCUAUCUGGACGACAACUGACGCUGAGGCACGAAAGCGUGGGGAUCAAACAGG
This 253-nucleotide ribosomal RNA is filed under the name uncultured bacterium. Its description in RNAcentral is "partial 16S ribosomal RNA". It matches the Rfam family "Bacterial small subunit ribosomal RNA", at positions 524 to 776 of the family's 1533-position model. The record is from RNAcentral.